CCCAAACCCCCACACCUGGAUUGUAAAGCAGGCCGGCUAGAGGUGCAGUUUCAGCAGCGAAGGCAAGGCAAGAAGAAGGUGAGGUGAGGUGUAGUGACUAGCUCUAGCAUGAGUUACGAGAUCAUGAUCAUUUGAGGUUCUCGUGUGACGGUGUGCGUUCUUAGCUUCGAGAGGAGCUACGGUUACGGGCCCAGAAGGAGCCACUCCGAGCGGGUGGAGGACCACGGGUGGAACACGACGCGGUAGGAGGAGACGCGGCUGCGCAGCCACGUGCUGAUACGGCCUCUCUCCAAGCGGCCGGAGCCGUUGCGGAAGCAGGAGUUACCGCCGUCGCUCCCGCAGAUGCGGAGGGGGCGGCGCCUGAGGAAGUAGGCUAAGGUCUUCCAGCGCAAGUUCUCCUGCGGCCUCAGGCGACGGCGCCGGCUCUUCCUGCCGUUGGCGUGCCAGUGUUAGUGCCGCCAGCAGAAGCUCCGGCGCCUGGCGCCGCGCCAGCCCCCGAGACUGCAGCAGCGGCGGCCGCGAGCGCGCGAGACGACGUGCGGCCUGUACCGCUUCGCGCCGCGCACGUGGCUCCCCAGCGAGCACAUGGCGCGCGGGUUGUCGCGGCAGCGGCGCCCGACCGGGUUCCACGAGCGGCGGAGGAAGGACGGCCCGCGGGAGCUCCGGCAGAAGGGACUGCUCUGGCAGCGGCAGCGCGCGUGGCCGUACAUGUCGGAGGCGAAGCAGGUGACGCUGCGCAGGGAGCUGCACCGACGCCUCCCGUUCUGGUAUACCUUCUUGUCGGCGCCGAUGCCGAUGGAGGGGCCGGCCUACCGGGGGGAGGACCGCAAGAUGCCUCAGUACAGCGACCGCAAGCAGCGGGAGCGGCGCAAGACCAAGGACGCCAUGCGGGCCAAGACCGCCCUCCACCACGGCGAGGUCUUAAAGCAGUGCCAGCAGUAGCGCGAGCCCUACCACCUCCACUGGUGCACCAUGAACCUGGAGCGGCUCAAGUCGCUCAGGCCUCAGGCCGGCCGCCCCUGCUGGAAGACCCGCCGGUGCAGGCCCCGCCACGCGGCGUGCCACAGCGCACACGACCACGAGGAGCAGCGGUUCCCCAUGCCGCACCACGCCGGGUGAGACCCUCCCCCGCGGUCGCGGCCCCGGUCCCACCGGCCCGAGCCGCGCCGCAAGAAGCGCCGCAGGCUCCGGGAGCUCCAGUCGCUCGUGCAGCCCCGGCACUCGCUGGUGCUGGUGCGCGGCUGCUCCUCCGAGAAGGAGCACGAGUGGCAGCGGCGGGAGCUGCGCCACAAGUAGACGACCUAUAAGUCGCGCGACAGCGCUUGGUAGUCGUUCGAGUUCCGCUCUGCCUACCGCCGCUUCCACCUCUGCAUGGCCUCCGACCGUUGGAGCGACUGCUAGCGGCACCGCCACAGGGACCCGACCUAGCGCAAGCUCCAGGUGAAGUUCAGCUGCCUGCCCAUGGUCUCGCUCGCCACCGCGCACCGCACCCACUAGGGCCGCCACACCGUCGAGUAGAGGAAGCGCGAGGAGACGCGGCACACGGAGCACACCCGCGGUAGGGUGCUAAGUCGCUCCGAGCGAACGAGCCUGCUCCCGCCGCUGCCGCCGCUGCCGCUGCUGCCGCUGCUGCACCUCCUGCCGCGCGCCGGCGACUACGAGUCCUGACCCGGCGAGAGCAUGCACCUCUUGACCCGCACGAUGCACUGAGUCCUGCGGUUCUAGUAGGAGUCCUGCCUGAGGCCGCACAUACGGUUUCGGCCGCUUCUCCUGUUCGCUCAGAUUAAUUCGAGCACCCAACGCUAGAGCACACGGCAUACUGAGUGCAGUGAUUCUUGCAUCACAUUUUUUUGCAAUAUAUAAUACCCUGCUUCUCUCAUGUGCAUCUCGUGUCUACAAUCAUAUUGUACGAUUACAUCUCUGGAUAGGCACAGCAACCAAAACAAUGCGAUGCUUCACCAUUUCUUGAUGAGGGAGGUAGGGUAUUGCGUUCUGAAAAAAA
This 2002-nucleotide ribosomal RNA is filed under the name Triticum aestivum (bread wheat). RNAcentral's name for it is "partial small subunit ribosomal RNA". Lineage: Eukaryota; Viridiplantae; Streptophyta; Magnoliopsida; Poales; Poaceae. The record is from RNAcentral.